RNAcentral lists this ribosomal RNA (520 nucleotides) under uncultured Glomus. RNAcentral describes it as "SSU rRNA". It matches the Rfam family "Eukaryotic small subunit ribosomal RNA", at positions 569 to 1091 of the family's 1831-position model. Lineage: Eukaryota; Fungi; Glomeromycota; Glomeromycetes; Glomerales; Glomeraceae. The record is from RNAcentral.
AGCAGCCGCGGUAAUUCCAGCUCCAAUAGCGUAUAUUAAAGUUGUUGCAGUUAAAAAAGCUCGUAGUUGAAUUUCGGGAUCAAUACGUCGGUCGUGCUUCGGUACGUACUGGCGUCAUUGGUUUCUCCCUUCUGACGAACCACGAUGUCAUUAACUUGGUGUCAUGGGAAAUCAGGACUGUUACUUUGAAAAAAUUAGAGUGUUUAAAGCAGGCUCACGCUUGAAUACAUUAGCAUGGAAUAAUGAAAUAGGACGUUCGAUCCUAUUUUGUUGGUUUCUAGGAUCAACGUAAUGAUUAAUAGGGAUAGUUGGGGGCAUUAGUAUUCAAUUGUCAGAGGUGAAAUUCUUGGAUUUAUUGAAGACUAACUACUGCGAAAGCAUUUGCCAAGGAUGUUUUCAUUAAUCAAGAACGAAAGUUAGGGGAUCGAAGACGAUCAGAUACCGCCGUAGUCUUAACCAUAAACUAUGCCGACUAGGGAUCGGAUGAUGUUAAUUUUUAAUGACUCAUUCGGCGCCUUAA